This 118-nucleotide ribosomal RNA is filed under the name Pteropus alecto (black flying fox). Lineage: Eukaryota; Metazoa; Chordata; Mammalia; Chiroptera; Pteropodidae. The record is from RNAcentral.
GUCUACAGCUAUGCCACCAUGAACGCGCCCAAUCUCAUCUGAUCUCAGAAGCUAAGCAGGGUCGGGCCUGGUUAGUACUUGCAUGGGAGACCACUAGGAAGACCAGGUGUUGUUUUGU